GCGCCCGUAGCUCAGCUGGAUAGAGCGUCUGCCUCCGGAGCAGAAGGUCGCGCGUUCGAAUCGCGCCGGGCGUA
This 74-nucleotide transfer RNA is filed under the name Candidatus Eiseniibacteriota bacterium. RNAcentral describes it as "tRNA-Arg". It matches the Rfam family "tRNA". From Rfam's summary of the family: Transfer RNA (tRNA) molecules are approximately 80 nucleotides in length. Lineage: Bacteria; Candidatus Eiseniibacteriota. The record is from RNAcentral. RNAcentral also lists the same sequence under 1 other name.